This 1438-nucleotide ribosomal RNA is filed under the name uncultured organism. Its description in RNAcentral is "16S ribosomal RNA". It matches the Rfam family "Bacterial small subunit ribosomal RNA". The record is from RNAcentral.
CUUAACACAUGCAAGUCGAGGGGCAGCAUGGUCUUAGCUUGCUAAGGCCGAUGGCGACCGGCGCACGGGUGAGUAACGCGUACCCAACCUGCCUUACACUCUUGGACAGCCUUCUGAAAGGGAGAUUAAUACAAGAUGUUAUCAUGAGUAAGCAUUUUCGCAUGAUUAAAGGUUUACCGGUGUAAGAUGGGGAUGCGUUCCAUUAGAUAGUAGGCGGGGUAACGGCCCACCUAGUCUUCGAUGGAUAGGGGUUCUGAGAGGAAGGUCCCCCACAUUGGAACUGAGACACGGUCCAAACUCCUACGGGAGGCAGCAGUGAGGAAUAUUGGUCAAUGGACGAGAGUCUGAACCAGCCAAGUAGCGUGAAGGAUGAAGGUUCUAUGGAUUGUAAACUUCUUUUAUACGGGAAUAAACGGAUCCACGUGUGGAUUUUUGCAUGUACCGUAUGAAUAAGGAUCGGCUAACUCCGUGCCAGCAGCCGCGGUAAUACGGAGGAUCCGAGCGUUAUCCGGAUUUAUUGGGUUUAAAGGGAGCGUAGAUGGGUUGUUAAGUCAGUUGUGAAAGUUUGCGGCUCAACCGUAAAAUUGCAAUUGAUACUGGCAGUCUUGAGUACAGUUGAGGUAGGCGGAAUUCGUGGUGUAGCGGUGAAAUGCUUAGAUAUCACGAAGAACUCCGAUUGCGAAGGCAGCUUACUAACCUGUAACUGACAUUGAUGCUCGAAAGUGUGGGUAUCAAACAGGAUUAGAUACCCUGGUAGUCCACACGGUAAACGAUGAAUACUCGCUGUAGGCGAUAUACAGUCUGCGGCCAAGCGAAAGCAUUAAGUAUUCCACCUGGGGAGUACGCCGGCAACGGUGAAACUCAAAGGAAUUGACGGGGGCCCGCACAAGCGGAGGAACAUGUGGUUUAAUUCGAUGAUACGCGAGGAACCUUACCCGGGCUUAAAUUGCAACCGAAUAUGGCGGAAACGCUAUAGCUAGCAAUAGCGGUUGUGAAGGUGCUGCAUGGUUGUCGUCAGCUCGUGCCGUGAGGUGUCGGCUUAAGUGCCAUAACGAGCGCAACCCUUGCCGAUAGUUACUAACAGGUCAUGCUGAGGACUCUGUCGGGACUGCCAUCGUAAGAUGUGAGGAAGGUGGGGAUGACGUCAAACCAGCACGGCCCUUACGUCCGGGGCUACACACGUGUUACAAUGGGGGGUACAGAGGGCUGCUACCACGCAAGUGGAUGCCAAUCCCAAAAACCUCUCUCAGUUCGGAUUGAAGUCUGCAACCCGACUUCAUGAAGCUGGAUUCGCUAGUAAUCGCGCAUCAGCCACGGCGCGGUGAAUACGUUCCCGGGCCUUGUACACACCGCCCGUCAAGCCAUGGGAGCCGGGGGUACCUGAAGUGCGUAACCGCAAGGAGCGCCCUAGGGUAAAACUGGUGACUGGGGCUAAGUC